This is a non-coding RNA of Caenorhabditis elegans, 184 nucleotides long. Lineage: Eukaryota; Metazoa; Nematoda; Chromadorea; Rhabditida; Rhabditidae. The record is from Ensembl.
AAGCGAAUAAACCGGGGCUCACUAUUAAUUACGAAAACCGAAAAGUUUGAACACGUCCCACCCGGGCGGUGCGGAUGGCGACGGCGCGGUGUGUGAGGCGAAAUGAUGUGUGUAUGUCAUGAGUGUGUGAGCGUUCCGUGAGCGCAUGAAUGAGUGUUUUGUGAGCGUGACGUGCGUGGCGACG